AAGAUGUGUAUAAGAGACAGGUGAAUCAUCGAAUCUUUGAACGCACAUUGCGCCCUCUGGUAUUCCGGGGGGCAUGCCUGUUCGAGCGUCAUUACAACCCUCAAGCUCUGCUUGGUAUUGGGCCCUGCCGGCUUCCGGCAGGCCUUAAAAUCAGUGGCGGUGCCAUUCGGCUUCAAGCGUAGUAAUUCUUCUCGCUUUGGAGAUCCGGGUGUGUGCUUGCCAGCAACCCCCAAUUUUUUCAGGUUGACCUCGGAUCAGGUAGGGAUACCCGCUGAACUUAAGCAUAUCAAUAAGCGGAGG
This 300-nucleotide unclassified non-coding RNA is filed under the name uncultured Thelebolales. Its description in RNAcentral is "sequence contains 5.8S rRNA gene, ITS2". The stretch from base 1 to 91 matches the Rfam family "5.8S ribosomal RNA", at positions 58 to 154 of the family's 154-position model. Lineage: Eukaryota; Fungi; Ascomycota; Leotiomycetes; Thelebolales. The record is from RNAcentral.